Molecule: long non-coding RNA, 378 nt
Organism: Mastomys coucha (southern multimammate mouse)
Lineage: Eukaryota; Metazoa; Chordata; Mammalia; Rodentia; Muridae
Exons: 4
Source: RefSeq, a predicted model, not a curated record
CAGAAGAGCACCUACGCAGUUAAAGCCAAGAGACACCAGGCAGAGCUAGAGGCAAGCAAGCACCACCACAGGAGCUCGAGGCUUACUUCCUGAGAAGAGAAAAAUGUACAUGAAAGAGGAAGAAAUGAAAAUACUUGGGGAAAAUUUCCCCAAAUCAAAAGACAAGAAGUUUUUAGAUUGAUAUAUCCUCAAAUCCUGAACAAAAGGUGCUCUCAAGCUGGGGAUUUUUAUUCUGCAUGCAAGCCUGUCCUACAACAAGAAUAAGAUGUUACAUUUUAAGAUGGGGCCAAGAAUAUGAGGUAAAAAUUUACUGCUAAUGGUGCUAUGACUUUUGCUGACAACAACAUGUCAAUGAAUGUUACAGAGAAUGUUAUAUGC